Molecule: ribosomal RNA, 497 nt
Filed under: uncultured bacterium
Lineage: Bacteria
Description: partial 16S ribosomal RNA
Rfam family: Bacterial small subunit ribosomal RNA
Source: RNAcentral
GAUGAACGCUGGCGGCGUGCCUAAUACAUGCAAGUCGAGCGAACAGACGAGGAGCUUGCUCCUCUGACGUUAGCGGCGGACGGGUGAGUAACACGUGGAUAACCUACCUAUAAGACUGGGAUAACUUCGGGAAACCGGAGCUAAUACCGGAUAAUAUAUUGAACCGCAUGGUUCAAUAGUGAAAGACGGUUUUGCUGUCACUUAUAGAUGGAUCCGCGCCGCAUUAGCUAGUUGGUAAGGUAACGGCUUACCAAGGCAACGAUGCGUAGCCGACCUGAGAGGGUGAUCGGCCACACGGGAACUGAGACACGGUCCAGACUCCUACGGGAGGCAGCAGUAGGGAAUCUUCCGCAAUGGGCGAAAGCCUGACGGAGCAACGCCGCGUGAGUGAUGAAGGUCUUCGGAUCGUAAAACUCUGUUAUUAGGGAAGAACAAAUGUGUAAGUAACUAUGCACGUCUUGACGGUACCUAAUCAGAAGGCCACGGCUAACUACGUG